UAGAGAGAGGAAGUGAGAGAGAAGGGAAAUUAGAGAGAGAAAGUAGAAAAUCAACCAAGUUUAAGGCCCCGAAUCCCAAAGCUCGUGAAGGAAAAAGUGUAGUACAAGUCGUUGUCGUCAUUUUAAGCCCAAGAUCGGACUUGGGGGUGUUGAUUUCGUGAUUACUACUCUUGAAAGAUUGAAGUUGAAGGGAUUGAAGAACAUUGUGAUACGCUCAAAAGCGGGAAGUUAAGGUACGGAUUUACAGGACGACGCUUCUGAUCAUUAGGAUUUGCUCGUAUCAGCUUAUUGGUGAGCCCCAUCUCAUUCGGGGUUUAGUCAACUUUUACUUUAUGAUUAAUUAUGCAUCUAAAGGUAUGCUGGGGGCCUUGUCCCAGUAAGUAUGUUUUCCAGUCAGACUCAUGAUAGAGGUUUCAUAGACUAGACAAGUCAGUUAUGCUAUGUCAGACAUUCGGAGUCGUAUAGCCAUUUUUGGCUCAUUCGUGUU
Long non-coding RNA from Lycium barbarum (goji berry), 487 nucleotides. RefSeq lists it as uncharacterized. The record is from RefSeq and is a predicted model, not a curated record. Lineage: Eukaryota; Viridiplantae; Streptophyta; Magnoliopsida; Solanales; Solanaceae. The transcript is spliced from 3 exons.